CAAAGUGGGGGACCUUCGGGCCUCAUGCCAUCAGAUGUGCCCAGAUGGGAUUAGCUAGUAGGUGGGGUAACGGCUCACCUAGGCGACGAUCCCUAGCUGGUCUGAGAGGAUGACCAGCCACACUGGAACUGAGACACGGUCCAGACUCCUACGGGAGGCAGCAGUGGGGAAUAUUGCACAAUGGGCGCAAGCCUGAUGCAGCCAUGCCGCGUGUGUGAAGAAGGCCUUCGGGUUGUAAAGCACUUUCAGCGGGGAGGAAGGCGGUGAGGUUAAUAACCUCAUCGAU
This 286-nucleotide ribosomal RNA is filed under the name Klebsiella pneumoniae. RNAcentral describes it as "partial 16S ribosomal RNA". It matches the Rfam family "Bacterial small subunit ribosomal RNA", at positions 202 to 476 of the family's 1533-position model. The record is from RNAcentral. Lineage: Bacteria; Pseudomonadati; Pseudomonadota; Gammaproteobacteria; Enterobacterales; Enterobacteriaceae.